Trifolium pratense (red clover) is the source of this 368-nucleotide long non-coding RNA. RefSeq lists it as uncharacterized. Lineage: Eukaryota; Viridiplantae; Streptophyta; Magnoliopsida; Fabales; Fabaceae. The record is from RefSeq and is a predicted model, not a curated record. The transcript is spliced from 2 exons.
AACCCUAGCGCAGCCAGAGAGAGAGGAGGAGUGAAGAACGUCAAAUAUCAUCACCACCGCCGCUCUGUCCACCUUCGUUUCACACCCAUCCAUUGUUGUCGAAGAACUGUAGGAAUAUCAAUAAGAGAGACAUAUUUGGAAGAAUUAACGAGUUUGCUAUGGUAGAAGAGUGGUAGAAGAGGUAGAAGGCUCUGAGUUUGCUAUGGUAUUAUGGAUGGUAGCUGCUUUUCUUAUUUGGGUCGCUGUUUUGUUUCAAUCCAGACUGUAUUGUCUCGUAUUUAAACUUAGAUUAAAACAAGUUUUGCUACUUAAUUGUAUUUCUUGUUUCUGAGUUGGCCUAAUAUUCUACCUAAGUUUAUUUACAUCUA